RNAcentral lists this ribosomal RNA (478 nucleotides) under uncultured bacterium. RNAcentral's name for it is "partial 16S ribosomal RNA". It matches the Rfam family "Bacterial small subunit ribosomal RNA", at positions 28 to 523 of the family's 1533-position model. The record is from RNAcentral.
GACUAACGCUGGCGGCGUGCUUAACACAUGCAAGUCGAACGGUAAGGCCCUUCGGGGUACACGAGUGGCGAACGGGUGAGUAACACGUGGGUGAUCUGCCCUGCACUUCGGGAUAAGCCUGGGAAACUGGGUCUAAUACCGGAUAGGACCACUGCCUGCAUGGGUGGUGGUGGAAAGCUUUUGCGGUGUGGGAUGGGCCCGCGGCCUAUUAGCUUGUUGGUGGGGUGAUGGCCUACCAAGGCGACGACGGGUAGCCGGCCUGAGAGGGUGACCGGCCACACUGGGACUGAGAUACGGCCCAGACUCCUACGGGAGGCAGCAGUGGGGAAUAUUGCACAAUGGGCGCAAGCCUGAUGCAGCGACGCCGCGUGAGGGAUGACGGCCUUCGGGUUGUAAACCUCUUUCAGCACCGACGAAGCGCAAGUGACGGUAGGUGCAGAAGAAGGACCGGCCAACUACGUGCCAGCCGCCGCAGUAA